AGCAUGGCACCCAGCUACACUCAGGAGCAGUAUGACAGAGAGUUAACCAUGCGGCUGGCUUUCUUUGGACCCAACCCCCCGGAGAAAUAUGUGCAGCUCGUAAGGAGCCAGGUAGACGAGUACCUGCAGUUCAUGGCAGAUCCAGCCAAAGGUAUCGGCCGCCCUAUCCGGUGGCAGAGUGCGUUACGGGGACUCAAAGGUGUACCCCAGGGAGCUGAAGGUGUUGUCCUUCCUCCCCAGUGGCAGAGUACGUCCCAGGGAGCUGAAGGUGGAGUCCUUCCUCCCCAGCGGCAGUGUGUAUCCCAGGGAGCUGAAGGUGCAGUCCUUCCUCCCCAGCGGCAGUGUGUAUCCCAGGGAGCUGAAGGUGCAGUCCUUCCUCCCCAGUGGCAGUGUGU
Molecule: non-coding RNA, 395 nt
Organism: Pelobates cultripes (western spadefoot toad)
Lineage: Eukaryota; Metazoa; Chordata; Amphibia; Anura; Pelobatidae
Source: the annotation of a GenBank genome assembly